AUUGAACGCUGGCGGCAUGCUUUACACAUGCAAGUCGGACGGCAGCACAGAGAAGCUUGCUUCUUGGGUGGCGAGUGGCGAACGGGUGAGUAAUAUAUCGGAACGUACCGAGUAAUGGGGGAUAACUAAUCGAAAGAUUAGCUAAUACCGCAUAUUCUCUGUGGAGGAAAGCAGGGGACCUUCGGGCCUUGCGUUAUUCUGGCGGCCGAUAUCUGAUUAGCUAGUUGGUGGGGUAAAGGCCUACCAAGUCGACGAUCCGUAGCGGGUCUGAGAGGAUGAUCCGCCACACUGGGACUGAGACACGGCCCAGACUCCUACGGGAGGCAGCAGUGGGGAAUUUUGGACAAUGGGCGCAAGCCUGAUCCAGCCAUGCCGCGUGUCUGAAGAAGGCCUUCGGGUUGUAAAGGACUUUUGUCAGGGAAGAAAAGGCUGUUGCUAAUAUCAAUAGCUGAUGACGGUACCUGAAGAAUAAGCACCGGCUAACUACGUG
This 490-nucleotide ribosomal RNA is filed under the name uncultured bacterium. Its description in RNAcentral is "partial 16S ribosomal RNA". It matches the Rfam family "Bacterial small subunit ribosomal RNA", at positions 30 to 507 of the family's 1533-position model. The record is from RNAcentral.